GAUGAAGAACGUAGCGAAAUGCGAUAAGUAAUGUGAAUUGCAGAAUUCAGUGAAUCAUCGAAUCUUUGAACGCACAUUGCGUCCGCUAGUAUUCUGGCGGGCAUGCCUGUCCGAGCGUCAUUUCAACCCUCAAGCCCCCGGGCUUGGUGUUGGGGAUCGGCGAGCCUCCGCGCCCGCCGUCCCCUAAAUCUAGUGGCGGUCUCGCUGUAGCUUCCUCUGCGUAGUAGCACACCUCGCACUGGGAAACAGCGCGGCCACGCCGUUAAACCCCCAACUUCUGAACGUUUGACCUCGGAUCAGGUAGGAAUACCCGCUGAACUUAAGCAUAUCAAUAAGCAGAGGA
RNAcentral lists this unclassified non-coding RNA (343 nucleotides) under soil metagenome. RNAcentral describes it as "partial contains 5.8S ribosomal RNA, internal transcribed spacer 2, and large subunit ribosomal RNA". The stretch from base 1 to 120 matches the Rfam family "5.8S ribosomal RNA", at positions 35 to 154 of the family's 154-position model. The record is from RNAcentral.